ACCCGCUGAACUUAAGCAUAUCAAUAAGCGGAGGAAAAGAAACCAACAGGGAUUGCCCUAGUAACGGCGAGUGAAGCGGCAACAGCUCAAAUUUGAAAUCUGGCUCUUUUAGAGUCCGAGUUGUAAUUUGCAGAGGGCGCUUUGGCUUUGGCAGCGGUCCAAGUUCCUUGGAACAGGACGUCACAGAGGGUGAGAAUCCCGUACGUGGUCGCUGGCUAUUGCCGUGUAAAGCCCCUUCGACGAGUCGAGUUGUUUGGGAAUGCAGCUCUAAAUGGGAGGUACAUUUCUUCUAAAGCUAAAUAUUGGCCAGAGACCGAUAGCGCACAAGUAGAGUGAUCGAAAGAUGAAAAGCACUUUGGAAAGAGAGUCAAACAGCACGUGAAAUUGUUGAAAGGGAAGCGCUUGCAGCCAGACUUGCUUACAGUUGCUCAUCCGGGCUUUUGCCCGGUGCACUUUUCUGUAGGCAGGCCAGCAUCAGUUUGGGCGGUAGGAUAAAGGUCUCUGUCACGUACCUCUCUUCGGGGAGGCCUUAUAGGGGAGACGACAUACUACCAGCCUGGACUGAGGUCCGCGCAUCUGCUAGGAUGCUGGCGUAAUGGCUGU
Molecule: ribosomal RNA, 603 nt
Filed under: uncultured fungus
Lineage: Eukaryota; Fungi
Description: eukaryotic LSU rRNA
Rfam family: Eukaryotic large subunit ribosomal RNA
Source: RNAcentral